CGCGGUAAUUCCAGCUCCAAUAGCGUAUAUUAAAGUUGUUGCAGUUAAAACGCUCGUAGUCGGAUUUCGGGGCGGGGCCGCCGGUCUGCCGAUGGGUAUGCACUGGCGGGCGCGUCCUUCCUUCCGGAGACUGGCCCUACUCUUAACUGAGCGGGGUCGGGAAUCGGAUCGUUUACUUUGAAAAAAUCAGAGUGUUUCAAGCAGGCAGCUCGCUCUUGCAUGGAUUAGCAUGGGAUAAUGAAAUAGGACUCUGGUGCUAUUUUGUUGGUUUCGAACACCGAAGUAAUGAUUAACAGGGACAGUCAGGGGCACUCGUAUUCCGCAGAGAGAGGUGAAAUUCUCAGACCCGCGGAAGACGAACCACUGCGAAAGCAUUUGCCAGGGAUGUUUUCACUGAUCAAGAACGAAAGUUAGGGGAUCGAAGACGAUCAGAUACCGUCGUAGUCUUAACCAUAAGCCAUGCCGACUAGGGAUCGGCGGAAGUCCUUUUUGACUCCGUCGGCACCUUGAGGGAAACUAUAGUCUUUGGGUUCCGGGGGGAGUAUGGUCGCAAGGCUGAAACUUAAAGGAAUUGACGG
This 578-nucleotide ribosomal RNA is filed under the name Prymnesium sp. MNURFJ13. Its description in RNAcentral is "SSU rRNA". It matches the Rfam family "Eukaryotic small subunit ribosomal RNA", at positions 575 to 1159 of the family's 1831-position model. Lineage: Eukaryota; Haptophyta; Prymnesiales; Prymnesiaceae. The record is from RNAcentral.